RNAcentral lists this ribosomal RNA (433 nucleotides) under uncultured bacterium. RNAcentral's name for it is "partial 16S ribosomal RNA". It matches the Rfam family "Bacterial small subunit ribosomal RNA", at positions 29 to 507 of the family's 1533-position model. The record is from RNAcentral.
AACGAACGCUGGCGGCAUGCCUAACACAUGCAAGUCGAACGAGACCUUCGGGUCUAGUGGCGCACGGGUGCGUAACGCGUGGGAAUCUGCCCUUCGGUUGGGAAUAACUGAGAGAAAUUUCAUCUAAUACCUUAUAAUGUCUUCGGACCAAAGAUUUAUCGCCGAGGGAUGAGCCCGCGUAGGAUUAGGUAGUUGGUGGGGUAAUGGCCUACCAAGCCGACGAUCCUUAGCUGGUCUGAGAGGAUGAUCAGCCACACUGGGACUGAGACACGGCCCAGACUCCUACGGGAGGCAGCAGUGGGGAAUAUUGGACAAUGGGCGAAAGCCUGAUCCAGCAAUGCCGCGUGAGUGAUGAAGGCCUUAGGGUUGUAAAGCUCUUUUACCCGGGAUGAUAAUGACAGUACCGGGAGAAUAAGCUCCGGCUAACUCCGUG